Molecule: long non-coding RNA, 224 nt
Organism: Neoarius graeffei (lesser salmon catfish)
Lineage: Eukaryota; Metazoa; Chordata; Actinopteri; Siluriformes; Ariidae
Exons: 3
Source: RefSeq, a predicted model, not a curated record
AGAACAGGUCAUGCAGGGCUUUUCAGCAAGCCCAGGCACUUUUCUGCAGCAGUCUAUUGACUAGAUUCAGCCUCAGGGGGACCUCCGCCCUACCAAACCACUGAACCCGCCUUUGGAGAAGGAGGGUCAUGAGCAAACACCGUAAGUGAUGAAGAAUUACAAAUGAUGAAAGAAAAUGCUGUUCCUAAAAGCUCUAAAGAUGCUACAAAGUUUGGUCUAAAACU